CCUGUUUGUUGGUUCCAUCCCGCUGUCGGUUCCAUUCUAGGGUUUGGUUUCGGCGUUUGCUAUCGCUUGCUUUGGUCUCCGGCCGAGAGCCGUUUCAGCUCCUUCUUCCGCUUCUUCAGCUUGUUGUUAUGGCUCCGUCUCUGGAGAUACCAAUCAUCUAUUUGGACUUGCAACUUUCAUGGCCACCUCUCAAUGAAAGGAUUCUUUCAUCCAUGUGCAGAAGGUCUGUUGCAGCACAUCCUUGGCAUGAUCUUGACAUAGGUACUUGAUAUUCUUAUAAAAGGUUUCGUAUGAUUAUUUAUUUAUUUUGCCUCUCCCUGCUGCUGUCUUCUUAAAUGGACUUUGGAUUCCAUGGAUUCGACAUGCAGGUCCUGAAGCUCCUAUGAUAUUUAACUGUGUAAGGUCUCUACACUUCGUUUAAUGUGACUUAUUAUGAAGUUUGAUGCUUAGCAAUGGACCUAAAUGAGAUGUUAUCACAUACAUGGGGGACAGAUCCGCUUGGUUUGUCAUGAAAACCAAGUUCUUGUACGCUAGCUUCAAAUGUUGGGUCACCCUGUUCUUGUAAUCUAUGAGCUUUCCGAUCAUCACUUGAUUGGAUGAAAGAUAUGAUACUUUGAAUUUGUAGUUAUGUGGAUAAUCAUGAUACAUUACAUUUGCACUUACAAUAUGAACCAGAAGUAAAGACAGCAGAUUUCUGCAGGUAGUAGAAAUAGGAAGGGGAAGCAAAGUGAAAUAUGAACUUGACAAGAGAACUGGGCUGAUAAAGGAACCAGUAAUUCCAGGAUGUUUUAUUCGAGCUAAAGCCAUAGGUCUGAUGCCUAUGAUUGAUCAGGUCUGGCUUGGUUAGACAAGUUGGAGAACUGAUUUUGUAAAUUGAAGCAUUAGUGAUUCACAUAUUGUUAUAUAAUGCUUCUGACGAUUGCUUAACUUUGGUAAAAGCCAUGUUGAUGCAAUUUAUGAUGUUGGAAACGGGGAGAAAGAUGACAAGAUAAUUGCUGUUUGUGCGGAUGACCCUGAAUACAACCAUUACAAUGAUAUCAACAAGCUGCCAUGUCAUCGUUUAGCUGAAAUCAGGAGUUUCUUUGAAGAUUGUAUCCUUGUAUAUCUACUAACACAGACUAAACAUGACCAACUUUUUUGCAGUUUAUUUAAAUAAGCAUACAAAUACUGUCAAUUGAAUCACUGGACUUAUGUUUCUAGAACACUGGUGUGUGUUGCUAAAGAGACUCGAAUGCUGAUGUCUCUCACAAAAUUAUGUGCCAUUAGAGGUUUUGCUUCAUCAAAGCCUGUCCUUGAACAAGAUAUUCAGAUAAGAAAAAGGAGAACAAGUUGCUGUGAAUGACAUCCUGCCUGCAUCUUCAGCUUAUAAAGAAAGCCAUACAACACUCCAUGGACCUUUAUGGCACUUGCAUUGUCGAAUACUUGAGGAAGUAGGAGGCAUCUUGACAAAUGGAGCUGAAAGUAAUUGGUCAUUUCCACAUAGUGAUUUUAUAUACGGCAGCUAUCAUUUAGUAAUAGUUACAUAUGAUACGCAAAAGUGACUGCUCAUAUUCUGCAUCGCAUGGUUGUGGUAACAUUUAGUACAAAAUUUUGUGGAGCUAAAUAGAAAUCUGAAGUGCAUAUAUCAAAUAGGCAUUUCACAAUUUUGGAUGUGCUAGUUUUACCAGCAAAUAUGAACAACACAUGGAUGUUCUAUGAACAUGACUUAUCAUUUGGAGAUUUAUUAUACAUACCAACUUCUUCCAUUGGAAUCAAUAU
Non-coding RNA from Musa acuminata subsp. malaccensis (wild Malaysian banana), 1758 nucleotides. The record is from RefSeq and is a predicted model, not a curated record. NCBI's taxonomy places the organism in Eukaryota, Viridiplantae, Streptophyta, Magnoliopsida, Zingiberales, Musaceae.